CUCUAGGAUAUUGUGCCUUAGCAACAGUGGAAAUUGCAAUGGUGGAAAACAGCCAGGUAGCUCCAGGUGCCAUUUUCCUUCCAGAACUACUGAAUGCAAGUUAGCCUCAAAUCAUUUCCAAGGUUGAGCGGCAAAACAGACGGGUCCAUUACUCUGUGAAGGGGAGCUCCCUCAAAUGCCUUUCUUCAACUGAUCCAACCAGAAACAUUUAUGCAGAAGUGAAGAUAGAGAAAGUCAGGCAAAGCAGGUCUGCAACCUACUGUGGUAACUUCUGGAAGGUCCACAAGAGCC
RNAcentral lists this long non-coding RNA (291 nucleotides) under Anas platyrhynchos (mallard). RNAcentral describes it as "lncRNA (ENSAPLG00020005674.1)". The record is from RNAcentral. Lineage: Eukaryota; Metazoa; Chordata; Aves; Anseriformes; Anatidae.